RNAcentral lists this ribosomal RNA (373 nucleotides) under uncultured organism. RNAcentral's name for it is "bacterial SSU rRNA". It matches the Rfam family "Bacterial small subunit ribosomal RNA", at positions 526 to 896 of the family's 1533-position model. The record is from RNAcentral.
CAGAGGGUGCAAGCGUUGUUCGGAAUUACUGGGCGUAAAGCGCGCGCAGGCGGAUCCUGCAAGUCAGAAGUGAAAUCUCAUUGCUCAACGAUGAGGCUGCUUUUGAUACUGCGGAUCUGGAGACCGGUAGAGGCUGGUAGAAUUGCAGGUGUAGCGGUGGAAUGCGUAGAGAUCUGCAAGAAUACCCGUGGCGAAGGCGGCCAGCUGGGCCGGUUCUGACGCUGAGGCGCGAAAGCGUGGGGAGCAAACAGGAUUAGAUACCCUGGUAGUCCACGCCGUAAACGAUGGGCACUAGGUGCUGGGGGGAGCGACCCCGUCAGUGCCGUAGCUAACGCGAUAAGUGCCCCGCCUGGGGAGUACGGCCGCAAGGCUG